Molecule: small nuclear RNA, 107 nt
Organism: Ursus americanus (American black bear)
Lineage: Eukaryota; Metazoa; Chordata; Mammalia; Carnivora; Ursidae
Source: Ensembl
GUGCUCACUUCGGCAGCACAUAUACUAAAAUUGGAACCAUACAGAGAAGAUUAGCAUGGCCCCUGCGCAAGUAUGACACGCAAAUUUGUGAAGCAUUCCAUAUUUAA